UCGGGAAUUUUGGGCAAUGGGCGAAAGCCUGACCCAGCAACGCCGCGUGAAGGAUGAAGUAUUUCGGUAUGUAAACUUCGAAAGAAUAGGAAGAAUAAAUGACGGUACUAUUUAUAAGGUCCGGCUAACUACGUGCCAGCAGCCGCGGUAAUACGUAGGGACCAAGCGUUGUUCGGAUUUACUGGGCGUAAAGGGCGCGUAGGCGGUGCGGUAAGUCACUUGUGAAAUCUCCGAGCUUAACUCGGAACGGCCAAGUGAUACUGCAGUACUAGAGUGCGGAAGGGGCAAUCGGAAUUCUUGGUGUAGCGGUGAAAUGCGUAGAUAUCAAGAGGAACACCUGAGGUGAAGACGGGUUGCUGGGCUGACACUGACGCUGAGGCGCGAAAGCCAGGGGAGCAAACGGGAUUAGAUACCCGAGUAGUCCCUGAGCGGGCUGGCAAGGCGCAU
Molecule: ribosomal RNA, 447 nt
Filed under: uncultured bacterium
Lineage: Bacteria
Description: bacterial SSU rRNA
Rfam family: Bacterial small subunit ribosomal RNA
Source: RNAcentral